UACGGGGGGGGGGCAAGCGUUGUUCGGAAUUACUGGGCGUAAAGGGCCAGUAGGCGGCCAACUAAGUCGGAUGUGAAAUCCCCAGGCUUAACCUGGGAACUGCAUCCGAUACUGGAUGGCUUGAAUUCGGGGAGAGGGAUGCAGAAUUCCAGGUGUAGCGGUGAAAUGCGUAGAUAUCUGGAGGAAUACCGGUGGCGAAGGCGGCAUCCUGGACCGGUACUGACGCUGAGGAGUCGAAAGCAUGGGGAGCGAACAGGG
This 258-nucleotide ribosomal RNA is filed under the name uncultured bacterium. RNAcentral describes it as "partial 16S ribosomal RNA". It matches the Rfam family "Bacterial small subunit ribosomal RNA", at positions 522 to 777 of the family's 1533-position model. The record is from RNAcentral.